CCUACGGGAGGCUGCAGUGAGGAAUAUUGGUCAAUGGGCGGGAGCCUGAACCAGCCAAGUCGCGUGAGGGAAGACGGUCCUACGGAUUGUAAACCUCUUUUGCCGGGGAGCAACGGGGUCCUUGCGAGGGCCCGAUGAGAGUACCCGGAGAAAAAGCAUCGGCUAACUCCGUGCCAGCAGCCGCGGUAAUACGGAGGAUGCGAGCGUUAUCCGGAUUUAUUGGGUUUAAAGGGUGCGCAGGCGGCCUGUUAAGUCAGCGGUAAAAGCCCGGGGCUCAAACCCGGCGAGCCGUUGAAACUGGCGGGCUGGAGUUGGAGAGAAGUACGCGGAAUGCGCGGUGUAGCGGUGAAAUGCUUAGAUAUCGCGCAGAACCCCGAUUGCGAAGGCAGCGUACCGGCUCCACACUGACGCUGAGGCACGAAAGCGUGGGUAUCGAACAGGAUUAGAUACCCGUGUAGUC
RNAcentral lists this ribosomal RNA (460 nucleotides) under uncultured bacterium. Its description in RNAcentral is "partial 16S ribosomal RNA". It matches the Rfam family "Bacterial small subunit ribosomal RNA", at positions 338 to 795 of the family's 1533-position model. The record is from RNAcentral.